This is a long non-coding RNA of Humulus lupulus (European hop), 576 nucleotides long. RefSeq lists it as uncharacterized. Lineage: Eukaryota; Viridiplantae; Streptophyta; Magnoliopsida; Rosales; Cannabaceae. The record is from RefSeq and is a predicted model, not a curated record. The transcript is spliced from 3 exons.
UCAAUGAUCAUUUGAGUAUGUAAAUAAUAUCUAUGUCUUUGUUCAUGUAAUUUUUAUUUUGAUCUUAUAAGCAUGUUGUUCUUUCAAUAUGAGAUAAUUGUGACAUGACUUUUUGAUUUAUUGGGUUCUCUACACAAGUUUCUAAAUUUCUUUAACUCUUUCAGAAAUUCAGAAAAGAAGACAAGCAACUUUAGGGAACUGAGGCAUUUAUAAAGGGAUCUCAUAUUUUCAUCUCAGCUAGGUUUGGUUCAUUUGGCUAUUUUUUCACUUUCAAGUGGCUUCAUUGGAUUUCAAAUUGGAGGGAACUUUAUUUGCAGCAGUUUGCAAGAGAAACGGUUGAUCAGAAACUAGUCAAAGAGUUUGCCAAGUACAAGAUAUGUCACCUCCAUCUACAAAAGGAAAGAGGCCAAAACACAUACCUACAGGAAAAUUAGUUAAACUCCUCAAUGAAAAGAGGAAGAGCUUUAGACUAAAUUUGGAAAUGGAUAAGGUUGUUGAAGAGAGAUAUACUAAGGAUGUGUCUCCAAAGAAAAAGACACGUAGAAUGAUUGUAAGAAAUGACUCUUCUGAUGAAGA